CUUCGGCCCGAGUUGUAAUUUGCAGAGGAAGUAUUUGGCGCGGUGCCUUCCGAGUUCCCUGGAACGGGACGCCAUAGAGGGUGAGAGCCCCGUCUGGUUGGACACUAAGCCUGUGUAAUACUCCUUCGACGAGUCGAGUAGUUUGGGAAUGCUGCUCUAAAUGGGAGGUAAAUCUCUUCUAAAGCUAAAUACCGGCCAGAGACCGAUAGCGCACAAGUAGAGUGAUCGAAAGAUGAAAAGCACCUUGAAAAGGGGGUUAAACAGUACGUGAAAUUGUUGAAAGGGAAGCGUUUAUGACCAGACUUGUGCCGUGUGGCUCAUCCGGGGUUCUCCCCGGUGCACUCCACACGGUUCAGGCCAACAUCGGUUCUCGUUGGGGGAUAAGAACAGUAGGAACGUGGCCCUCUUCGGAGGGUGUUAUAGCCUAUUGUACGAUACCUUGAUGGGGACCGAGGACCGCGCUUCGGCUAGGAUGUUGGCGUAAUGGUCAUUAGCGACCCGUCUU
RNAcentral lists this ribosomal RNA (505 nucleotides) under Melanconis stilbostoma. RNAcentral's name for it is "partial 28S ribosomal RNA". It matches the Rfam family "Eukaryotic large subunit ribosomal RNA", at positions 131 to 655 of the family's 3401-position model. Lineage: Eukaryota; Fungi; Ascomycota; Sordariomycetes; Diaporthales; Melanconidaceae. The record is from RNAcentral.